GACGAACGCUGGCGGCGUGCUUAACACAUGCAAGUCGAACGGAAAGGCCCUGCUUUUGUGGGGUGCUCGAGUGGCGAACGGGUGAGUAACACGUGAGUAACCUGCCCUUGACUUUGGGAUAACUUCAGGAAACUGGGGCUAAUACCGGAUAGGAGCUCCUGCUGCAUGGUGGGGGUUGGAAAGUUUCGGCGGUUGGGGAUGGACUCGCGGCUUAUCAGCUUGUUGGUGGGGUAGUGGCUUACCAAGGCUUUGACGGGUAGCCGGCCUGAGAGGGUGUCCGGCCACAUUGGGACUGCGAUACGGCCCAGACUCCUACGGGAGGCAGCAGUGGGGAAUAUUGCACAAUGGGCGGAAGCCUGAUGCAGCAACGCCGCGUGCGGGAUGACGGCCUUCGGGUUGUAAACCGCUUUCGCCUGUGACGAAGCGUGAGUGACGGUAAUGGGUAAAGAAGCACCGGCUAACUACGUG
This 468-nucleotide ribosomal RNA is filed under the name uncultured bacterium. RNAcentral's name for it is "partial 16S ribosomal RNA". It matches the Rfam family "Bacterial small subunit ribosomal RNA", at positions 28 to 507 of the family's 1533-position model. The record is from RNAcentral.